Non-coding RNA from Podarcis lilfordi (Lilford's wall lizard), 3534 nucleotides. NCBI's taxonomy places the organism in Eukaryota, Metazoa, Chordata, Lepidosauria, Squamata, Lacertidae. The record is from the annotation of a GenBank genome assembly.
GUGUGUGUGUGUGUGUGUGCGCGCGCGCGUUAAGAAAUGGGUCUCCAGAUGUGGGUUUAGGUCUCAAAAGGUUGAAGACUACUGCUCUACCAAGUGGUUAACAUAAAGCAAUCUAAAAUACUCAUUUUUAAAAAAACUGGUAGUACCAAUCAUUUAAAAUAAAAUAAAAUAACCUAAUAAAUAUGAAUAAAACACAAGUAAUCCUAAUAAAAUUAUAUGUUAACAUUACAGAUUAUAUGUGCUCACAUGCUCAUAGGUAAUCAUGUGAACUCAGCAUUUAUAGAUCCAGUCAGGAAGAAAUGACACUGUUUUUGGUCUCUGGAGAAAGCUGUCAUGUUUGUCGUCGUUUCCCCACCACCACCACCUGUCCAUUUAUUUUUAUUUAUUGUUUUUCAACUUUGAUUCCAGCUGGUUACAAGGUUCCCAUCUCCCCAAAAUGUACAAAUGCAUAAAAUUGCAAACAGACUAUGAGUUGGCAGAUGAAAGAGCAGUCUAGAAUACUUAAAGGUACUGUAUUUUUUGCUCUAUAAGAUGCACCAGACCACAAGAUGCACCUAGUUUUUGGACGAGAAAAACAAGAAAAAAAUAUUCUGAAUCCCAGAAGCCAGAACAGCAAGAGGGAUCGCUGCGCAGUGAAAGCAGCAAUCCCUCUUGCUGCUCUGGCUUCUGUGAUAGCUGCGCAGCCUGCAUUCGCUCCAUAAGACGCACACACAUUUCCCCUUACUUUUUAUGAGGGAAAAAGUGAGUCUAUAGAGCAAAAAAUCUGGUACAUCAAAAGCUGCCUGAGCUAUUUAUGAAGUAUUGAAAGUAAAACAAAUAAGAAUAUUUUCAUCUAGCACCAAAAAGAAAGUGCCAUCAGGCAAGCGGCUUGGAGCAAGUCCCUUCCAUACCUGGGGUAGCUGAGCUCAAAAUGGCUAUUCUCUACGGAGGCAUUUGAAGAAGGCCAUCAGCAGAUAAACUAUGAGCACAGAGAGGUGGUCAGGGAAGAUGGAGCUCCUUCAGGUGUUGUUGCUAUUUAUUUGAUUUCUUACCCGUCCUUCACCAGGAGGUCCGUGAGCAGAAUACACCAGCAUAAAAGUAAUUGGUUAAAGCAAUUUACAAUCCAAAGAAGAAGGUGUUCCUAAAAUAUAUACUAUCUCAGGAGUCAAAGGCCGUGGUAAAAAGGUACUUGUUUCCAAUGGGGUUUAGAGCUUUAAAAGUGUGCAUCAGUCCUUUGAAUUGGUUCUUUUAAAACUGCCAAGAAGGAAUCCAAACUAACAUGCCGAACUGUGUAUGUUUGUUUCAAGUAUGUUUAUCUCAUCCUUCACCAAAUUGUGCUGGGACAGGACUGCAUAUGCAUUAAAACCAUAAUUUGUGAUGUUUUAAAAGCUUAAAGAAAUAAUGAAUUACCAUAACAAAUCUCAGUGGAAAUCUACAUGGCAGCAGGAAGGGAAUAAAACAAAGAAGGCAAGUCUUCACUCAUCAACACCACACGCCUCAGUGGAGAGGUUAUUCCAUAAGUGAGGGGCUUCCACCGAGAAGGCCCUUCAGGGCACCCAGGUACCACAGCUCUCACUUGAGGCAGGCCCAUAAGCAGGGUUCCUCUGCUGAUCUAAAUGUAUGGGCAGGUUGGUAAAGGAAGAGGCUUUCUUUCAGAUAUUUGAGGCCUAACUCAUUUAUAAUUUGGUCCAGAAGGUACUUAGAAUCAUAGAGUUGGAAGAGACCACAAGGGCCAUCGAGUCCAGCCCCCUGCCAAGCAGGAAACACCAUCAGAGCACUCCUGACAUAUGGUUGUCAAGCCUCUGCUUAAAGACCUCCAAAGAAGGAGACUCCACCACACUCCUUGGCAGCAAAUUCCACUGUCAAACAGCUCUUACUGUCAGGAAGUUCUUCCUAAUGUUUAGGUGGAAUCUUCUUUCUUGUAGUUUGGAUCCAUUGCUCCGUGUCCGCUUCUCUGGAGCAGCAGAAAACAACCUUUCUCCCUCUUCUAUGUGACAUCCUUUUAUAUAUUUGAACAUGGCUAUCAUAUCACCCCUUAACCUCCUCUUCUCCAGGCUAAACAUGCCCAGCUCCCUUAGCCGUUCCUCAUAAGGCAUCAUUUCCAGGCCUUUGACCAUUUUGGUUGCCCUCCUCUGGACACGUUCCAGUUUGUCAGUGUCCUUCUUGAACUGUGGUGCCCAGAACUGGACACAGUACUCCAGGUGAAGUCUGACCAGAGCAGAAUACAGUGGCACUAUUACUUGAAUUGGGUCUAGAACAAAAUUAGCAACCACUUAACAUAGCAUGGAUAAUUGUGACCAGACUAUCCCAGUCUAGGAAAAGCCAUAGUUGGGAAUAGAUAUUUUAGUCACUGAAGCAACAUGGGCCUGAGGUUUCCUCCCCCUUGCUAGCAACCUUGUCCUGUGUCUGUUGCACUUUCAAACAAAAGGACAGAAUAGCUACAGGAUUUGAUUCCAAAUCUCUAACCAGGAGGCCAUGCUAGGACUAGAGUGCACAACCCCAUCAGAAAGAAAACUGUGAGUGGAAAAUAUGCAGGAAGUGAGACUAUAAGCAUGUUGCAAUGAGUUUCUUCAGCUCCUAUCCUGUGCUGUUCGCAUUUCAUAAGGCCUGUAAAGCGAAGAAGGGAAAUAUUUGACCUGCUGUCUUAGAGUAUUUCUUUAUUAGAAGGAUUUCUAGCCCGCCCUUCAUCGAGUGAGCAAUGCCAAGGUUGGCAUACAUUAAAACAGAAGACAAUGCAUUUGUAGGUAAAACAACAUCAGAAGGGCAGGUUAAACAAUGAGUCAGAGCAGCAGACUGAUGGGUAUUAGUAAGAGGAUAUAUGAAUUAUAUUUGAUCUUCUACAGACCCACAUGUGUGGGUUAACACAAAAGAAAAACAGCUUGUGCCUGUUUUUAAAGCACAGGGUUUGCACACAGAGGGCCCCAGUAGCAGAGUUUAAAUCCCAUUGUUAGGCAGAUUUAAUAGAUGCAUAGGAACAGGUUUUUAAACCACCUUUUUAAUAUCCCUGUCCAGGAAACACUGAAGCUGAAUAACCAGUUGAAGCUGGUAAAAAGAACACUUAGCUACUCAAGCCCCCUGGGCCUCCAGUGACAAUGAAGGAAUCAGUAGCAUUCCCAUAUUAUGGGCCUCCUCCUUCGAGAGGAAUUCAACCCCAUCCAGAAUAGGCCUUCUACCUAAGUUCCACACCAGGGCACAGUCUCUCCUUUGCCAGGUGUCAGUUUAUUGGCCCUCAUCCAGCUUCACCCAACAUGGUCCAUAUUCUGCACAGCCUCAUUUGAUUCAGAUGUCAAAGAGAAACAGAGCUAGGUGUCGCCAACAUAUUGAUGGCACCCAACUCCAAACUACUGAUGAUCUCAUCUGUGGCUUCAUAUAGAUGUUCAAUAGCACAGGGGACAAGAUUAAACCCUCCAGUACCUUAUAGCACAAGCACCACAAACCUGAACAACACAAUUCUACCAUCUGACCCUGAAGUUAGGAGUGGAACCAUCAUAUCACAGUACCUCCAGUUCCCAAACUACAGAGCUGGUCCAGUAGGUGCUCAGGAAACCUUGCCCC